UAGGGAAUCUUCCGCAAUGGACGCAAGUCUGACGGAGCAACGCCGCGUGAGUGAAGAAGGAUUUCGGUUCGUAAAACUCUGUUGUUAGAGAAGAACAGCGCAUAGAGUAACUGUUAUGCGUGUGACGGUAUCUAACCAGAAAGGGACGGCUAACUACGUGCCAGCAGCCGCGGUAAUACGUAGGUCCCGAGCGUUGUCCGGAUUUAUUGGGCGUAAAGCGAGCGCAGGCGGUCAAUUAAGUCUGAUGUGAAAGCCCCCGGCUCAACCGGGGAGGGUCAUUGGAAACUGGUUGACUUGAGUGCAGAAGAGGAGAGUGGAAUUCCAUGUGUAGCGGUGAAAUGCGUAGAUAUAUGGAGGAACACCAGUGGCGAAGGCGACUCUCUGGUCUGUAACUGACGCGGAGGCUCGAAAGCGUGGGUGGCAAACAGG
Molecule: ribosomal RNA, 429 nt
Filed under: Bacteroidota bacterium
Lineage: Bacteria; Pseudomonadati; Bacteroidota
Description: Bacteroidetes bacterium partial 16S ribosomal RNA
Rfam family: Bacterial small subunit ribosomal RNA
Source: RNAcentral